RNAcentral lists this ribosomal RNA (446 nucleotides) under uncultured bacterium. RNAcentral describes it as "partial 16S ribosomal RNA". It matches the Rfam family "Bacterial small subunit ribosomal RNA", at positions 338 to 795 of the family's 1533-position model. The record is from RNAcentral.
CCUACGGGAGGCAGCAGUCGAGAAUCAUUCACAAUGGGGGAAACCCUGAUGGUGCGACGCCGCGUGGGGGAAUGAAGGUCUUCGGAUUGUAAACCCCUGUCAUGUGGGAGCAAAUUAAAAAGAUAGUACCACAUGAGGAAGAGACGGCUAACUCUGUGCCAGCAGCCGCGGUAAUACAGAGGUCUCAAGCGUUGUUCGGAAUCACUGGGCGUAAAGCGUGCGUAGGCUGUUUCGUAAGUCGUGUGUGAAAGGCGCGGGCUCAACCCGCGGACGGCACAUGAUACUGCGAGACUAGAGUAAUGGAGGGGGAACCGGAAUUCCCGGUGUAGCAGUGAAAUGCGUAGAUAUCGGGAGGAACACUAGUGGCGAAGGCGGGUUCCUGGACAUUAACUGACGCUGAGGCACGAAGGCCAGGGGAGCGAAAGGGAUUAGAUACCCCAGUAGUC